AUACGGAGGAAGCGAGCGUUAAUCGGAAUUACUGGGCGUAAAGCGCGCGUAGGCGGCUUUGUAAGUCGGAUGUGAAAGCCCUGGGCUUAACCUGGGAAUGGCAUUCGAUACUGCAGAACUAGAGUAUGGUAGAGGGAAGUGGAAUUUCCGGUGUAGUGGUGAAAUGCGUAGAUAUCGGAAGGAACACCAGUGGCGAAGGCGACUUCCUGGGCCAAUACUGACGCUGAGGUGCGAAAGCGUGGGGAGCAAACAGGAUUAGAAACCCCGGUAGUCC
RNAcentral lists this ribosomal RNA (274 nucleotides) under uncultured bacterium. RNAcentral's name for it is "partial 16S ribosomal RNA". It matches the Rfam family "Bacterial small subunit ribosomal RNA", at positions 523 to 796 of the family's 1533-position model. The record is from RNAcentral.